UUCUUCUUCCCCUCUCCUCAACGCCUCAGGAGCAAACAACCUCCCACUGCGAGUGAAACCGCUGGGACCGGCAUUAUCCACCUUUAACACGGUGGUUUCACUUGCAGUCUGAUCUUCCACUACCUUCUCACCGUUACAAUAGACCUCUCCACCAUAGUGCCACGGCACGGCGUCAUCUUUGUCGUAGGGAAUUGGUCCAGGUACCGUG
This 208-nucleotide long non-coding RNA is filed under the name Lathyrus oleraceus (garden pea). RNAcentral's name for it is "Pisum sativum (pea) long non-coding RNA (PSAT_LNC033431)". The record is from RNAcentral. Lineage: Eukaryota; Viridiplantae; Streptophyta; Magnoliopsida; Fabales; Fabaceae.